This 329-nucleotide ribosomal RNA is filed under the name uncultured eukaryote. RNAcentral describes it as "partial 18S ribosomal RNA". It matches the Rfam family "Eukaryotic small subunit ribosomal RNA", at positions 1470 to 1796 of the family's 1831-position model. The record is from RNAcentral.
CCCUUAGAUGUUCUGGGCCGCACGCGCGCUACAAUGAUGAAUUCAACGAGUUUAUAACCUUGGUUGAAAAGCCUGGGUAAUCUUUUGAACUUUCGUCGUGAUGGGGCUAGACCCUUGCAAUUAUUGGUCUCCAACGAGGAAUUCCUAGUAAACGCAAGUCAUCAGCUUGCAUUGAUUACGUCCCUGCCCUUUGUACACACCGCCCGUCGCACCUACCGAUUGAAUGGUCCGGUGAAAUCUUCGGAUUGAGACUUUGAUUUCUUCACGGAAAACGCUGUUUUAAAAAGUUGAUUAAACCUUACCAUUUAGAGGAAGGUGAAGUCGGAACA